AGUGAACGCUGGCGGUAGGCCUAACACAUGCAAGUCGAACGGCAGCACAGUAAGAGCUUGCUCUUACGGGUGGCGAGUGGCGGACGGGUGAGGAAUACAUCGGAAUCUACUUUUUCGUGGGGGAUAACGUAGGGAAACUUACGCUAAUACCGCAUACGACCUACGGGUGAAAGCAGGGGAUCUUCGGACCUUGCGCGAUUGAAUGAGCCGAUGUCGGAUUAGCUAGUUGGCGGGGUAAAGGCCCACCAAGGCGACGAUCCGUAGCUGGUCUGAGAGGAUGAACAGCCACACUGGAUCUGAGACACGGUCCAGACUCCUACGGGAGGCAGCAGUCGGGAAUAUUGGACAAUGGGCGCAAGCCUGCUCCAGCCAUACCGCGUGGGUGAAGAAGGCCUUAGGGUUGUACAGCCCUUUUGUUGGGAAAGAAAAGCAGCAGGUUAAUACCCCGCUGUUCUGACGGUACCCAAAGAAUAAGCACCGGCUAACUUCGUG
RNAcentral lists this ribosomal RNA (492 nucleotides) under uncultured bacterium. RNAcentral's name for it is "partial 16S ribosomal RNA". It matches the Rfam family "Bacterial small subunit ribosomal RNA", at positions 29 to 507 of the family's 1533-position model. The record is from RNAcentral.